AACGAACGCUUGCUGCAUGCUUUAUACAUGCAAGUCGAACGGAGGCCCUAGCUUGCUAGGUGUCCUUAGUGGCGCACGGGUGAGUAACACGUGGGAACAUACCUCAUAGUACGGAAUAACUGCGGGAAACUGUAGCUAAUACCGUAUAUUCCAGCAAUGGGAAAGAUUUAUCGCUAUGAGAUUGGCCCGCGCAAGAUUAGUUUGUUGGUAAGGUAAUGGCUUACCAAGACUACGAUCUUUAGCUGGUUUGAGAGGAUGAUCAGCCACACUGGGACUGAGACACGGCCCAGACUCCUACGGGAGGCAGCAGUAGGGAAUAUUGGACAAUGGGGGAAACCCUGAUCCAGCAAUGCAGCGUGAGUGACGAAGGCCUUAGGGUUGUAAAACUCUUUCAUCGGUGAGGAUAAUGACAGUAGCCGAAGAAGAAGGACCGGCUAAUUCCGUGCCAGCAGCCGCGGUAAUACGGAAGGUCCUAGCGUUGUUCGGAAUUACUGGGCGUAAAGCGCAUGUAGGCGGAACAGAAAGUUAGAAGUGAAAUCCCUGGGCUCAACCUAGGAAUUGCUUUUAAAACUUCUGUUCUGGAAUUCAGGAGAGGAAAAUGGAAUAUCCAGUGUAGAGGUGAAAUUCGUAGAUAUUGGAUGGAACACCAGUGGCGAAGGCGAUUUUCUGGACUGAUAUGACGCUGA
RNAcentral lists this ribosomal RNA (686 nucleotides) under alpha proteobacterium IMCC14362. RNAcentral describes it as "bacterial SSU rRNA". It matches the Rfam family "Bacterial small subunit ribosomal RNA", at positions 28 to 749 of the family's 1533-position model. The record is from RNAcentral. Lineage: Bacteria; Pseudomonadati; Pseudomonadota; Alphaproteobacteria.